Molecule: non-coding RNA, 71 nt
Organism: Salmo salar (Atlantic salmon)
Lineage: Eukaryota; Metazoa; Chordata; Actinopteri; Salmoniformes; Salmonidae
Source: Rfam
GCAUUGGUGGUUCAGUGGUAGAAUUUUCACCUGCCAUGCGGGAGGCCUGGGUUCGUUUCCCGGCCAAUGCA